This 2607-nucleotide long non-coding RNA is filed under the name Vigna radiata. RNAcentral describes it as "long non-coding RNA (VRAD_LNC016918)". Lineage: Eukaryota; Viridiplantae; Streptophyta; Magnoliopsida; Fabales; Fabaceae. The record is from RNAcentral.
UUUCUAAAAAAAAAAUACAUUCUGAUAAAGGGUAAAAGUGGAAAAAUGAAAAAUGCGUUUUGUUUAUGUUUGGGUUCUCAAUUGAAAAUCUCAUUUAGGUUUAGUUUGAAAAAGUUUCUCCCUCGUUCUUCAUUGCAGAGGUUCUCCAUCAUUGUCAAUAGUUGGUUGUGGAGAUUUUUGGUGGUUGUGAAGUUGAGAGUUGUGGACAUUUCGCUAGUGCCGCUCCUAAUCACAUUUCUGGAUUGUGAGUUUGAAGUAGGGUUUUCUAUUUUCAUCUGUCCUAAGUAAAGGUUUUUUGAUUUUGAUUUCGCGUGGUUAAAUAAAAGAAGAAGUCGUAGUCGUGCAUAUUUAUGGAUGAUUUAGCGAAAAUGGGACUCUUUUGUUUGAAAUUUAAUUCCUUUCAUGUGUGUCUGCGAGGUUCCUGUUUGAAAAUAGAAGAUGUGUAAAUGAUGAUGCAUGACAAAACAAUAACGGAAAAAUAACAGUAGUAAAGUUGAUUGUGUAAACUCAGGAUAAGAAAUAUAAAUAGCUUUCAUAAAUAGUGAGCAUAGGCAAAACUUUUAUAAAAAUUUUAAAAUUUAAUAUAAUAUAGCUUUUGUGAGUUAUAAAAUCAUUCUGAAAUUAAUAAUGUCGAAGGGCAGUGAAGGGAAUCUACAGUCAAGUUAUACUUUUUGUUUGAAUUCUCGCUCACAAUAUUUUUUAAUUUUUUUUAAUUUGAGUUACAUUGCAGUUUAUUUGUCUUUUGAUGUGAUUAAAGGGAACAAACAGCCUGCAUUGAGGAACAAGUUCGGUGUUAAGUGUCUCUCGGGGUUCCUCUGUUGCAGUUAUUAUAGAGGUCAAAUCCUUAUUUGAAUUUUAUGAAGAUGUCUUUAGAGUAAUUUCAAAUAAUCUUAUAUGUCUUUAGCGAAUAAAGUGAUCACUGGAUAUGUAUACCCAUCAAAUUUUGGUAUCACAACUUAUGAAAAAUGGUUACUUGAGAUGAUUUAGUUGAAAAUAUAUAAUGUAUGUCAUUAGUCCAUUCACUCAGUCCUCUGUCAAGAUCACCAGCAUUUCAACAAUAUUCACAAUUCAAAUUGAUGAAUGAAUUUCUAACAUCUGAAGCACAAAUUAGUUAUAUCUAUUAUUACUCCACCAACUGUGUGUAUUGUGGUUGGUUUACGUAAAGCAUCCCUGUUAUAUUGGAGAAAUGCAGCUUGUUUUGUGGCUCUAUUUAUUUCAACAAAUCUUAUGUACCAGAAUAUGUAUUAUUUUCCUUAUGAAUUCUUAGUUCAACUUUGGUAGUUUAGUAUAGUUGUUAAUGUAGUCUAGUUAUUUUUUAUUUCAGGUUUAGUGUUCAUUUGUUGUUUGUUGUCCCUCUGGUCCAGAUUCUAGUUUGAAUUAUGUUAAUAUUAAUUCCAGUAUAAUGUUUUUGAUUUUUGUAAAUGUUGGUGAUUUUAGGGAAUUGGCUCUUAUUCAUAAUUUUAAUCAUUUUGCUACUGUCCCUAUAGCAACUUAUUUGAUUUGGUCAUUUGCAGCUUUUAAGAGCUUCUCAACAAGAAAUAUAGGAUUUUUUAUUUCCAGAAGAGAUGCUACCAUUUUAACUUUGUGACCGAACAGACUCUUACAAAAUGCCAACAUUAGUCAGUUAUUUGUUAUUUGAUGAUUUCAAUAAGUAGUUUUAGGUGUAUUUAAUUACAUGUUUAAUUGUCUUAAUAGAGGUAUAGAACAAACACAGUGGCUUGAUGAACAACUCAAUUAUCUGUAUGGUUGUUUUUGUCUCUGGUAUGUCAAUAUUCCUUUUAUGUAUUAAAACACAUCUGUUUCUAUAUCUAUAUUAAACACAAACGUGAAGGCUAUCUAUAUUCCAUAUAAUAAAAAACAAAAGGCUGUUGAAUUAAUUGAUAUAGGACAGUAUAGGAUGGUAAUUUGAUAGAAAGAGGGUGGUGUUGUGAAAAAUCUGAAUAUAUUUGGGUUUUAUUAUAUAACCACUUGUUUCUAAUAUUUGUUUAAUGUGUAGUUAUGAUUGUGGUAUAUUGGUGAUUAAAUAUAUGGAGUUAUGGGACUACACACCAAAAUUUGAUGGGAAUAAAAUGCCCAAUUACACAACGGUUUGUAAUUUUUAUGUAUAUGGUUAUUUCAAUAUGAUUUAUGUGAAAAGGUUUUAAAGUGUAUUUAAUAACGAUAUUAUUAUCGCAGGAACAAUUACAAGUUGUGCGACAACAGAUGGUUUGUCAGUGGAUAUUACACAAAGAUAAUGUUCAUCGUAGUAUGGUAUUGAAGAGAUGUGGGAUGGUUUAGGCAUUGAUUAAGUCAUGAACUAGGACAACAUCACUGAGUUGAAUAAAUUGAAGUAGGGGAACAAUUAAUGUACAUAUUGAAUACAAAUGACAUCAAAUAUGAUUGAUUACGACAUGAUAAGUUGGGCAAUGAAAUGUUGAUAUAGUGAUUACUUUGUUGUCAAUAUUUUUUGCAAAGGGAAAUUUGAGCUUCACUUGCAAAUUGUAUGAGAUUUUUAGUGAUUCAGGAUGUGAUAUUUAACACUUUUAUUGUUGUACAAAACGCAGUCCAGAACCGACCACAUACAGUUGAAGGGAUAACCACUAACUGUACCAAAAAAAGUGGUCUUUN